RNAcentral lists this ribosomal RNA (907 nucleotides) under uncultured archaeon. RNAcentral's name for it is "bacterial SSU rRNA". It matches the Rfam family "Archaeal small subunit ribosomal RNA", at positions 98 to 1006 of the family's 1478-position model. The record is from RNAcentral.
ACGUGGAUAACCUACCCUUGGGACUGGCAUAACCCCGGGAAACUGGGGAUAAUACCAGAUAGAUCAGGGAUGCUGGAAUGCACCUUGAUCCAAAGCUCAGGCGCCCAAGGAUGGAUCUGCGACCUAUCAGGUUGUAGUGGGUGUAACGUACCUACUAGCCGACGACGGGUACGGGUUGUGAGAGCAAGAGCCCGGAGAUGGAUUCUGAGACACGAAUCCAGGCCCUACGGGGUGCAGCAGGCGCGAAACCUUUACAAUGUGCGAAAGCAUGAUAAGGGAACUCCGAGUGCCAGCAUCUAAUGCUGGCUGUCCUUGUGCCUAAAACGUACAAGAUAGCAAGGGCCGGGUAAGACCGGUGCCAGCCGCCGCGGUAACACCGGCGGCCCGAGUGGUAGCCACUAUUAUUGGGUCUAAAGGGUCCGUAGCCGGUUUGGUAAGUCCUCUGGAAAAUCUGGUUGCUCAACAAUCAGACUGCCAAGGGAUACUGUCAAACUUGAGACCGGGAGAGGUAAGAGGUACUUCAGGGGUAGGAGUGAAAUCUUGUAAUCCCUGGGGGACCAUCUGUGGCGAAGGCGUCUUACCAGAACGGGUCUGACGGUGAGGGACGAAAGCUGGGGGCGCGAACCGGAUUAGAUACCCGGGUAGUCCCAGCCGUAAACGAUGCUCGCUAUGUGUCGGGUACGGUGCGACCGUAUCUGGUGCCGUAGGGAAGCCGUGGAGCGAGCCACCUGGGAAGUACGGCCGCAAGGCUGAAACUUAAAGGAAUUGGCGGGGGAGCACUACAACGGGUGGAGCCUGCGGUUUAAUUGGAUUCAACGCCGGAAAUCUUACCGGGUGAGACAGCAACAUGAAGGUCAGGCUGAAGACCUUACCAGAUUAGCUGAGAGGUGGCGCAUGGCCGUCGGCA